RNAcentral lists this ribosomal RNA (383 nucleotides) under uncultured soil bacterium. RNAcentral's name for it is "bacterial SSU rRNA". It matches the Rfam family "Bacterial small subunit ribosomal RNA", at positions 26 to 436 of the family's 1533-position model. The record is from RNAcentral.
AGAACGAACGCUGGCGGCAUGCCUAAUACAUGCAAGUCGAACGAACACUUCGGUGUUAGUGGCGCACGGGUGCGUAACGCGUGGGAAUCUGCCCUUGGGUUCGGAAUAACAGUUGGAAACGACUGCUAAUACCGGAUGAUAUCGAAAGAUCAAAGAUUUAUCGCCCAGGGAUGAGCCCGCGUAGGAUUAGCUAGUUGGUGAGGUAAAGGCUCACCAAGGCGACGAUCCUUAGCUGGUCUGAGAGGAUGAUCAGCCACACUGGGACUGAGACACGGCCCAGACUCCUACGGGAGGCAGCAGUAGGGAAUAUUGGACAAUGGGCGCAAGCCUGAUCCAAGCAAUGCCGCGUGAGUGAUGAAGGCCUUAGGGUUGUAAAGCUCUUU